CUUUAGUGGCAGACGGGUGAGUAAAGUAUAGGAAUCUACCUAAUAGUAUGGAAUAAUUGCUAGAAAUAGCAGCUAAUACCAUAUACUCCUUACGAGGGAAAGAUUUAUCGCUAUUAGAUGAGCCUAUAUUAGAUUAGCUAGUUGGUAAGGUAAUGGCUUACCAAGGCUAUGAUCUAUAGCUGAUCUGAGAGGAUGAUCAGCCACACUGGAAUUGAGAUACGGUCCAGACUCCUACGGGAGGCAGCAGUGGGGAAUAUUGGACAAUGGGCGAAAGCCUGAUCCAGCUAUGCCGCAUGAGUGAAGAAGGCUUUAGGGUUGUAAAGCUCUUUUAGUAAGGAAGAUAAUGACGGUACUUACAGAAAAAGUCCUGGCUAACUCCGUGCCAGCAGCCGCGGUAAUACGGAGAGGGCUAGCGUUGUUCGGAAUUAUUGGGCGUAAAGGGUACGUAGGCUGUUUAGUAAGUUAGAAGUGAAAUCCUAAGGCUUAACCUUAGAACUGCUUUUAAAACUGCUAUACUAGAGGUCGAAAGAGGAUAGUGGAAUUCCUAGUGGAGAGGUGAAAUUCGUAGAUAUUAGGAGGAACACCAGUGGCGAAGGCGACUGUCUGGUUCGAUUCUGACGCUGAGGUACGAAAGCGUGGGGAGCAAACAGGAUUAGAUACCCUGGUAGUCCACGCUGUAAAUGGUGAAUGUUAAAUGUAGGGAUUGUAUCUCUGUAUUGUAGCUAACGCGUUAAACAUUCCGCCUGGGGACUACGAUCGCAAGAUUAAAACUCAAAGGAAUUGACGGGGACCCGCACAAGCGGUGGAGCAUGUGGUUUAAUUCGAUGCUACGCGAAAAACCUUACCACUUUUUGACAUGGAGGCUAUCUCCUUCUGAGAGGAAGGAUUCAGUUCGGCUGGGCCUCACACAGGUGUUGCAUGGCUGUCGUCAGCUCGUGUCGUGAGAUGUUGGGUUAAGUCCCGCAACGAGCGCAACCCUUAUCCUUAGUUACCAACAGGUUAAGCUGGGCACUUUAAGGAGACUGCCAAUGAUAAAUUGGAGGAAGGUGGGGACGACGUCAAGUCAUCAUGGCCCUUAUAAAGUGGGCUACACACGUGCUACAAUGGCGACUACAAUGGGUUGCAAAACUGCGAAGUUGAGCCAAUCCCAAAAAGUCGUCUCAGUUCGGAUUGCUCUCUGCAACUCGAGAGCAUGAAGUCGGAAUCGCUAGUAAUCGUGGAUCAGCACGCCACGGUGAAUACGUUCUCGGGUCUUGUACACACUGCCCGUCAAGCCAUGGAAGUUGGUUUCACUCGAAACUAGUGUGCUAACC
This 1313-nucleotide ribosomal RNA is filed under the name Candidatus Neowolbachia serbia. Its description in RNAcentral is "bacterial SSU rRNA". It matches the Rfam family "Bacterial small subunit ribosomal RNA", at positions 90 to 1440 of the family's 1533-position model. Lineage: Bacteria; Pseudomonadati; Pseudomonadota; Alphaproteobacteria; Rickettsiales; Anaplasmataceae. The record is from RNAcentral.